GCUGGCGGUGCGCCUUAUGCAUGCAAGUCGAGCGAAGCUUUUCAGUAGUUUACUACAGAAAAUGACUGAGCGGCGAACGGGUGAGUAACGCGUGAGCAACCUACCUUAGUUACUGGGAUAGCCCGAGGAAACUCGGAUUAAUACCGGAUAUUCUUAUUUAAUCACAUGAUUUUUUAAGGAAAGGUCAGCCGAACUAAGAUGGGCUCGCGUUCUAUCAGCUAGUUGGUAGGGUAAUGGCCUACCAAGGCUACGACGGAUAGCUGGUCUGAGAGGACGAUCAGCCACACUGGGACUGAGACACGGCCCAGACUCCUACGGGAGGCUGCAGCAGGGAAUAUUGCGCAAUGAGCGAAAGCUUGACGCAGCGACACCGCGUGUGGGAUGACGGAUCUAGGUUUGUAAACCACUUUCAGGAGGGAAGAAAAUGACGGUACCUCCACAAGAAGCCCCGGCCAACUACGUGCCAGCAGCCGCGGUAAUACGUAGGGGGCGAGCGUUGUCCGGAUUUAUUGGGCGUAAAGAGCUCGUAGGCGGUUCAACAAGUCGGUCGUGAAAGUUCAGGGCUCAACCCUGAAAUGUCGAUCGAUACUGUUGUGACUAGGAUACGGUAGAGGUGAGUGGAAUUCCGAGUGUAGCGGUGAAAUGCGUAGAUAUUCGGAGGAACACCAAUUGCGAAGGCAGCUCACUGGGCCGCUAUCGACGCUGAGGAGCGAAAGCUAGGGGAGCAAACAGGAUUAGAUACCCUGGUAGUCCUAGCUGUAAACGAUGGAUACUAGACGUAGGAAUUGGAUUAACGAUUUCUGUGUCGUAGCUAACGCGUUAAGUAUCCCGCC
Molecule: ribosomal RNA, 833 nt
Filed under: uncultured bacterium
Lineage: Bacteria
Description: bacterial SSU rRNA
Rfam family: Bacterial small subunit ribosomal RNA
Source: RNAcentral